Biomphalaria pfeifferi is the source of this 366-nucleotide non-coding RNA. The record is from the annotation of a GenBank genome assembly. NCBI's taxonomy places the organism in Eukaryota, Metazoa, Mollusca, Gastropoda, Planorbidae.
UAAGUCAUUGGUUAAUAUGCAUGACAAAAUGCAUGACGCGCAAGACGUAAUCAUCUUCUUUUAUUUGAAGUAACGUCUGUAUUGUUAUAAGAUAAGAUAAGAAGUAAUUCUUUUCCACAACAAUAUACUGUCAAAUUUCUAAAAAAAAUCCUUAGAGCCGUUUUCGAGAGGAUGGAAGUGGAGUCAGCAAUUUUAUUGCCCCUACCCCAUAACAAUGCAGGGCGGAAGUGGAGCCAGCACUUUAAUUGCCCAACACCAUACCAAUGCAUGGCGUAAGUGGAGCCAGCAGUUUAAGGCGCAACCCCCAUACUAAUGCUGGGUGGAAGUGGAGCCAGCAGUUUAAUUGCCCCAUACUUGUGCAGUGCG